This is a long non-coding RNA of Strigops habroptila (Kakapo), 405 nucleotides long. RefSeq lists it as uncharacterized. The record is from RefSeq and is a predicted model, not a curated record. NCBI's taxonomy places the organism in Eukaryota, Metazoa, Chordata, Aves, Psittaciformes, Psittacidae. The transcript is spliced from 3 exons.
ACUGCUGUCAGCUGCUUCCUCAAAGGAUUCCCUUUCCUUCACUUUAUCCUUGAUGACUCUGAAAAGACAAUUGGCAUGUGUGAUUUUACUUGCAGGUAAGAUCUCAGUGAGGAGGACUUGUCCUCCAACCUACAUGGAUGCUCCUGCCACACAACCCAGGAAACCCACAGACAGAAGGGACAAGGGAACCAGUGAUUUAUGACUUGCUGCCUCUCUGGGUAUGGAAACAGAGUCAGCAGAUCAUCUACUCAAGGACAAUGACGUUAUAAAAGCUCCUGUUAUUAACAGUAUCCGCUGGUCCCGUUACAAAAGCAAUUGUGCUUGAGCUCUGACUCUUAACAAAAGAGUCAGAAGGCACUGCCCGCUUUGACCUGCAUCUCUACCACUGCUUCUCUGCUGCCCAGG